UUCAAGAAUGCUGUUUGUAUUUGCAACAUCAACUACAACCACAUUAGGUAUGCAUCAGUUAACUUUUGCCCAUAGAACUCGAGCUCUUCAGUGUCUCUUCUAUUUGGCUGACAAGGAAACUAUAGAAUCUCUCUUUAAAAAACCCAUUGAAGAAGUGAAAUCUUAUUUGAAAUGUAUAACUUUUCUGGCAUCAUUUGAGACUU
RNAcentral lists this small RNA (203 nucleotides) under Pongo abelii (Sumatran orangutan). Its description in RNAcentral is "processed transcript". The record is from RNAcentral. Lineage: Eukaryota; Metazoa; Chordata; Mammalia; Primates; Hominidae.